This 253-nucleotide ribosomal RNA is filed under the name uncultured bacterium. RNAcentral describes it as "partial 16S ribosomal RNA". It matches the Rfam family "Bacterial small subunit ribosomal RNA", at positions 524 to 776 of the family's 1533-position model. The record is from RNAcentral.
UACGAACCGUGCAACCGUUGUUCGGAAUCACUGGGCUUAAAGGGCGCGUAGGCGGAUUUUCAAGUCGGUGGUGAAAUCGUUCGGCUCAACCGGACAAGUGCCGCCGAUACUGAAAGUCUCGAGGGAGGUAGGGGUCGAGGGAACUGGUGGUGGAGCGGUGAAAUGCGUAGAUAUCACUAGGAACGCCGGUGGCGAAAGCGCUCGACUGGACCUCUUCUGACGCUCAGGCGCGAAAGCCAGGGGAGCAAACGGG